GCCCCCAUAGCUCAACUGGAUAGAGCACCGCUCUUCUAAAGCGGAUGUUGCAGGUUCGAGCCCUGCUGGGGGUA
Molecule: transfer RNA, 74 nt
Filed under: Mariniblastus sp.
Lineage: Bacteria; Pseudomonadati; Planctomycetota; Planctomycetia; Pirellulales; Pirellulaceae
Description: tRNA-Arg
Rfam family: tRNA
About the family: Transfer RNA (tRNA) molecules are approximately 80 nucleotides in length. Their secondary structure includes four short double-helical elements and three loops (D, anti-codon, and T loops).
Source: RNAcentral